GGGAAACUGGGCUACAGUGAGAGAUGGCAGCCAUUUUGGAUCUGUUUUAAACAAGGGUCCCUCAUGUCCUUCAGGGGGUACCUAAGGUUUAUGCCUGAUUGAAAAAGAGCUUAAAUUUUCUUUUACUUCAGUGAUCACUUAAAUUAGAUAUAAACUCAGUAUGAGUUGUACAUUAAAUUGGUUAGCGAUUUAAGGUGUAUUUACAAUGUGGCUGAAACGCUGUUGGUAUUCAGCUGUUAGAAACAUCAAGACAGAUAGAUACUGGUCAGUUAGAGACAGUAGGACAGAUAGAUACUGAUACUGGUCAGUUAGAGACAGUAGGACAGAUAGAUACUGGUCAUAGGAUCUUCCUGGGCAAAAACCUUUUAAAGAUUUGUCAGUCAACUACAACACAACUCAGUACAGUAACGUUACGGCAACAAGACACUGGGCCAACACGUCGCCAUGGAAACACAGAAGCACGGCAGUCAAAGCUCUUUUUUUUUUCCGGCGUUAGGGUCAUUUACAAAAAUAAAAAUAAACUAUUGUCUAAAGACUGUUAAGUGUUAGAUGUAUCGAAUAAAAAAAAAGAAGACAUUUAAAGAAGCACAGAUACUGUACCAAACUGUUCCACGACAUCUAGUCACUAACAACACUAUGUUAUAGUUAACUGGGGCCCCAGAGUUAUCCCUGAUCAUGUGACCUGACCAGGAGACACGCCAGGCUCUAGUUAUAUAAAAAGGCAAUGGUUUCAUUGGAUGUCCCCUUGCAGAGGAAAGUGUUAAAAGCCACAUAAAUGUGAAAGAUGUACAUUUCUAAUGUAUUGUCCUGUGUGGAGACAGGAUAAGGGUCCACCCUAUAACCUACAGCACCUUCGCAAAGUAUUCAGACCCCUGGACUUUUUACACAUUUUGUUACGUUACAGACUUAUUCUAACAUGGAUUCAAUUG
Long non-coding RNA from Oncorhynchus tshawytscha (Chinook salmon), 929 nucleotides. NCBI's taxonomy places the organism in Eukaryota, Metazoa, Chordata, Actinopteri, Salmoniformes, Salmonidae. The record is from Ensembl.